Molecule: ribosomal RNA, 406 nt
Filed under: uncultured prokaryote
Description: bacterial SSU rRNA
Rfam family: Bacterial small subunit ribosomal RNA
Source: RNAcentral
UGGGGAAUAUUGGGCAAUGGGGGGAACCCUGACCCAGCAACGCCGCGUGAAGGAAGAAGGUUUUCGGAUUGUAAACUUCUGUCCUUGGUGAAGAGGAAGAGACGGUAGCCAAGGAGGAAGCGCCGGCUAACUUCGUGCCAGCAGCCGCGGUAAUACGAAGGGGGCUAGCGUUGUUCGGAAUUACUGGGCGUAAAGGGCGCGUAGGCGGCCCGAUCAGUCAGAAGUGAAAGCCCCGGGCUCAACCUGGGAACUGCUUUUGAUACUGUCGGGCUUGAGUUCCGGAGAGGAUGGUGGAAUUCCCAGUGUAGAGGUGAAAUUCGUAGAUAUUGGGAAGAACACCGGUGGCGAAGGCGGCCAUCUGGACGGACACUGACGCUGAGGCGCGAAAGCGUGGGGAGCAAACAGG